This 594-nucleotide ribosomal RNA is filed under the name uncultured bacterium. Its description in RNAcentral is "bacterial SSU rRNA". It matches the Rfam family "Bacterial small subunit ribosomal RNA", at positions 386 to 982 of the family's 1533-position model. The record is from RNAcentral.
ACGCAGCGACGCCGCGUGAAGGAUGAAGGCCCUCUGGGUUGUAAACUUCUGUAGAGAGAGAAGAACGUGGCGCUUCAGCGCCAUUGACGGUACCUCUAAAGUAAGGAUCGGCUAACUACGUGCCAGCAGCCGCGGUAAUACGUAGGAUCCGAGCGUUGUCCGGAAUCACUGGGUGUAAAGGGAGCGCAGGCGGGUUUAUAAGUCGAUGGUGAAAUCUUGCAGCUUAACUGCAAAACUGCCGUUGAUACUGUAAAUCUUGAGUGUGGAAGAGGGCGAUGGAAUUCAUGGUGUAGCGGUGAAAUGCGUAGAUAUCAUGAAGAACACCGGUCGCGAAGGCGGUCGCCUGGUCCAUUACUGACGCUCAUGCUCGAAAGCGUGGGGAUCAAACAGGAUUAGAUACCCUGGUAGUCCACGCCUUAAACGAUGAAUACUUGGUGUCGGGCCGCAAGGUUCGGUGCCAAAGCUAACGCAUUAAGUAUUCCACCUGGGAAGUACGAUCGCAAGGUUGAAACUCAAAGGAAUUGACGGGGGCCCGCACAAGCAGUGGAGCAUGUGGUUUAAUUCGAUGCAACGCGAAGAACCUUACCAGGGUUU